GACGAACGCUGGCGGCGUGCCUAAUACAUGCAAGUCGAACGCUUUUUCUUUCACCGGAGCUUGCUCCACCGAAAGAAAAGGAGUGGCGAACGGGUGAGUAACACGUGGGUAACCUGCCCAUCAGAAGGGGAUAACACUUGGAAACAGGUGCUAAUACCGUAUAACACUAUUUUCCGCAUGGAAGAAAGUUGAAAGGCGCUUUUGCGUCACUGAUGGAUGGACCCGGGGUGCAUUAGCUAGUUGGUGAGGUAACGGCUCACCAAGGCAACGAUGCAUAGCCGACCUGAGAGGGUGAUCGGCCACACUGGGACUGAGACACGGCCCAGACUCCUACGGGAGGCAGCAGUAGGGAAUCUUCGGCAAUGGACGAAAGUCUGACCGAGCAACGCCGCGUGAGUGAAGAAGGUUUUCGGAUCGUAAAACUCUGUUGUUAGAGAAGAACAAGGAUGAGAGUAAAAUGUUCAUCCCUUGACGGUAUCUAACCAGAAAGCCACGGCUAACUACGUGCCAGCAGCCGCAGUAA
RNAcentral lists this ribosomal RNA (523 nucleotides) under uncultured bacterium. RNAcentral's name for it is "partial 16S ribosomal RNA". It matches the Rfam family "Bacterial small subunit ribosomal RNA", at positions 28 to 523 of the family's 1533-position model. The record is from RNAcentral.